RNAcentral lists this ribosomal RNA (774 nucleotides) under uncultured Psychrosphaera sp. Its description in RNAcentral is "bacterial SSU rRNA". It matches the Rfam family "Bacterial small subunit ribosomal RNA", at positions 722 to 1494 of the family's 1533-position model. Lineage: Bacteria; Pseudomonadati; Pseudomonadota; Gammaproteobacteria; Alteromonadales; Pseudoalteromonadaceae. The record is from RNAcentral.
CAGCCACCUGGGUCGACACUGACGCUCAUGUACGAAAGCGUGGGUAGCAAACAGGUAUUAGAUACCCUGGUAGUCCACGCCGUAAACGAUGUCUACUAGCAGCUUGAUUCGUUAAGAAUUGUUUUGCAAAGCUAACGCAUUAAGUAGACCGCCUGGGGAGUACGGCCGCAAGGUUAAAACUCAAAUGAAUUGACGGGGGCCCGCACAAGCGGUGGAGCAUGUGGUUUAAUUCGAUGCAACGCGAAGAACCUUACCAUCCCUUGACAUCCAGAGAAUUUUUCAGAGAUGAAUUAGUGCCUUCGGGAACUCUGAGACAGGUGCUGCAUGGCUGUCGUCAGCUCGUGUUGUGAAAUGUUGGGUUAAGUCCCGCAACGAGCGCAACCCUUAUCCUUAGUUGCCAGCGAGUAAUGUCGGGAACUCUAAGGAGACUGCCGGUGACAAACCGGAGGAAGGUGGGGACGACGUCAAGUCAUCAUGGCCCUUACGGGAUGGGCUACACACGUGCUACAAUGGUAGAUACAAAGGGUUGCGAACUCGCGAGAGUAAGCGGAUCCCAUAAAGCCUAUCGUAGUCCGGAUUGGAGUCUGCAACUCGACUCCAUGAAGUCGGAAUCGCUAGUAAUCGUAGAUCAGAAUGCUACGGUGAAUACGUUCCCGGGCCUUGUACACACCGCCCGUCACACCAUGGGAGUGGGCUGCAAAAGAAGUGGGUAGUUUAACCUUCGGGAGGACGCUCACCGCUUUGUGGUUCAUGACUGGGGUGAAGUCGUAACAA